GCGGGUCCAGGAGGUUUGCUUGAGGAGAAGUUCCUUGAGUUGGCCUCCUUCCUCGGGAUUACUUCUGAGUGCCCUCUUUCCUUGGGCCCGUUGUCCUCAGCACCCAUUUUGCCCCUUGGUGGGAGUGAAGAGACUCAGCCAGUCCAUCCUCGAGUCUCUGGGCCUCCUGUCAGCCUUAAGAAUCCUCCAGAUUUGUUUCCACAGACACUUUGCAGCAUCUACUCAGUGCUAAGCAUCAAGGGUGAAAACAGUUAAGGAGCACUUACUCCAUUUUUCAGGGGAAGGAACUUGGCACUGACAGUGGGUGGGACUUGCCCGAGGUCUCAACAGAUCCAGCACUCUUGUCCUUUCGGUGCUCAGUCUGGUCCAAGCCCUUCAACCAGUAGCAGCUCUCCCCACCCCCACCCAGAGAAGCCACGACGACAUUUUAGGGUGACUGCAGAGAAGCGGCGUCUUACUUGCAUUCUAUGGAAGAGACAGAUGGUUUGGCGAUAGGGUCACACAGGAGUGGAACUUGUCCGUGAGAAGUACCUGUAGGAAUAAAAAUCCAUUGCCUCUUAUUUCCUUAGGGCCCGUUUUAAAGACACACAGAAGCUUCAUUUAUUUACUUUUGGAGUUCGCCUUUGCGACAUCACGAGCAUGUGGAGGGAGGCAGGAGGUCCUACCUGAAUUUAUGGCUAUGAGGCCUCGAUGUGCAACAGUCAGGUCUGGAACCCACGGCGUCUGGCCUGUUGCAAGAGUCUAAGAAUGGAUAUUUUAAUGCUAAUUUCAGGCCUGCCUUCUGUCCUUGCCCGGAAUUUACUGGAGGAAACUAAGAGAGUUUAGGUGACUUGCUCAAGGUCACAUCGCACGGCCAAGACAGGGUAGAGGCAGGAUUUGCACCCAGGUCUGUUUGUAGGACUGGAACUUAACUCCAGGUGCUUCGAAAUCAGCUGCUGACUUCUGCCCUGGGUGGUUCUGAGUCCAGUCCUGAGGCUCGAUACGCAGUGAACAUGACCUUGAUGUGAUGCACACCCGCCACUUUCCUGCCAACGGCUCUGACACCAGUGCCUGCAGGAGUCACAAAGAAGCAAAUAUCUGUUCCAGCUUCAGCUCAUCAGUCACAGCCAGUCUCGGGGCUGGUGGCCCACAACAUGCUUCUGGGAGGACAUGAGAGAAGGAGAAGGGACAGCGUGUUCUCCAAUGCUAUGCGUAUUCUCCGAAGACGAGGCUACCCCAAGGUAACGACAUCAGACAACAUUUACUGCCGUGAAACCACAAGCUGACUUCUCACCUGUAAUACCAGACACCGAAUUAAUCUAUUCUAUUCCCCACCCCAUAUCUUAUAUCUCUGAAAUCUGCACGUAUGUUAGAUUUGACAAAAUCUGGGUAUUUUACUCCUUGGACCCGUUACCAUUUACAAAGCACCUCACACAAGAUACUCCAUCAUUCCACA
Long non-coding RNA from Neofelis nebulosa (Clouded leopard), 1435 nucleotides. RefSeq lists it as uncharacterized. NCBI's taxonomy places the organism in Eukaryota, Metazoa, Chordata, Mammalia, Carnivora, Felidae. The transcript is spliced from 2 exons. The record is from RefSeq and is a predicted model, not a curated record.